GAAAUAAUCUGGCUGGAAAAGAAUAGAUGAGAAUCAUGAGACCUGGAUUCUCAUCUCUAAGUGCACAUGGGAAUCACCUUGGUCCUACACCCAGAUAUUCUGGUUUAUCUUGGUCCUACACCCAGAUAAUCGGUCUGAGUGUGGCCUGACAUUGGGAUUUUUUAUGCUCCCCCAAAUGGCUGCAGUAUACACCCAUAUUGACAACCACUGUUAUAAGGGACUAGAUAAGGCACAAC
RNAcentral lists this long non-coding RNA (236 nucleotides) under Homo sapiens (human). Its description in RNAcentral is "non-protein coding lnc-MTDH-1:1". Lineage: Eukaryota; Metazoa; Chordata; Mammalia; Primates; Hominidae. The record is from RNAcentral.